Molecule: non-coding RNA, 29 nt
Filed under: Homo sapiens (human)
Lineage: Eukaryota; Metazoa; Chordata; Mammalia; Primates; Hominidae
Source: RNAcentral
UGCAGAGAACCAUUGCAAGACUUCGCCUA